UGUUAGAACAAUAUAACAUUCAAUUGAAAUAAAUGGAUAAUUUCUUUCAGUUGUUUUCUAUAUCAAUUUGAAUUUAUUAAUUUUAGAAAUUUUCCAAAUCUAGUUCAUUAUUGGGUUUAAAUAAAUAUGGAUACUUGGAAUAGAUUUGAAAUAAAUAUUGAAUUUUAUUUCAUAAAAUGAAUGUUUUAUAUUAUGAAUUAUAAAAUAUUUUCAACUGAAGAAGAAAUAAACACAUACACUAUAUAUAAUAUAUAUAAAUAGAUAAAUAGACAGAAGGAAAUAUUCUUUAAUUUUCUUAAAAUAGGUAACAUUAUUAGUUAAUUGUUCAUAGUCUAUUUCUAUUUCAUUGCUACUUAGGCAAAAAUAUAAGAAAAUAGGAACACAAAGAGUAGUACCCCAUUUGAAUGGGCGUGGCAUGCUGGUGACAAUCUGCAGUGAUUUUUGAUCAGUUAGUUAGUUCAUUAACAGAAAACUCAUUACACUUAUGUGGAAUAUUGUUUAAAUGAUAGUCCUUGUUGGAAUUUCCCAAGAAUCUGUAUUAAAUGCUCUAUUAUUUACUCUGCACGUUAACUUCAUAUUUUAUCCAAAUUUCACAUCUGAUAUUAUUAGAUAUGCUGAUGAUUUAAAACUAAUUAAUAUUGUUAAGAAUGCAAUUGUUGAUUACCUUCAGUCAUUAGUGUUAUAUGGCUCUCCUAAAAUAACAUAAUAUUUAAUAUAAGAAAAUGUCUUAUAUGGUUUUUGAUUAAGCAAAAGAAUUAUUCAAAAGUCUUUAUCUUACAUUUAUUAAUAUAUCUAUUUCUCCUACUUAUAAUCACAUCGAUGUAGAAGUAAUCCUUGAUUAUCAUGUCGUUUAAAUUUCAUAGUGAAAUGAUAAUUAAUAAAUUUCUUCAAAAUAUUACCUUCAUUAAAGUAUAUACGAGAAAUCAAAAAAUUAAUGUCCUUCAUUCUUGGCUUUUAGAAACAAUAGUCUCUAAUGCUACGUAGGUUAUAACGCUACACAUAAAUAACGUCAUAUCAGUUGUAUAGUUAUUGAGCUGCUGAUGCGUUAAUAUCUAUUUAAGCAUAGCAUUUCAAUCGUAUUUUGAUAAAAUACAGUGGAUAUAUUGCCAUGCAAUCAAAUUAUUUGACUCAGUUCUGCUGAAUAGUUCGUACAACGUGUCACUUGAUGAUUUUAAUCACUCAAACUUGUUAAAUAUAUCAGAGUUCAAUUACUGGAUUGACAAAAGUGAUCUGCUAUAUCUUAUUAAAUAUAUAAAUAUCCAGCUUCCUCCAGAAAAUAUUUUUAUAAUGUUCUAUUAUUACGCCAGAACUAUAAACUUUAUUCAAUUAAAUAAAUUCAGAACAACUAAAUAUGCAAAUCGUUCCAGAUCCGUACUGCAAAAAGUUUUAACCAUAAAUUUUAAUCUUUUUACUAUUGUUACUUUGUUUUUCAACAUUUAUGUAUAUUUUAAUGUAUAUUUAUAUUUGUUUUUCAUGGUUUUAUGUAACGAGGGCCACUCGCAUUAUUUAUGAGUGAUUAGAGCUUAAAUAAAAAAAUAAAAAUAAAUUUCUGUCCGCCUACUUUACUCUGGGGGCGUGGGAUUGGUCGAAUCGAUUAAAGAGGUUACUUCUGGACCAAUUAGGACAAAUCAUAGAACGUCAUAGCCGAUUUUGAAUGACAGAAUACGUUUUUAGACAUUGUUAAGAUUUUUGAUAUAAGUCAAUAUACCUAAAAUCUUUUCAAAACAGAAUAUUGAAAUCACAUAAUAUCAGUUAUUGUUUAGAAUCACAAAUUUUCCUAUAUUUAUGAUACAUUUGUAACAAUUAUAUAAAAAACACAGUAUUCGC
RNAcentral lists this long non-coding RNA (1827 nucleotides) under Androctonus crassicauda. Lineage: Eukaryota; Metazoa; Arthropoda; Arachnida; Scorpiones; Buthidae. The record is from RNAcentral.